GUCUCGGUGGCGCAAUUGGUAAGCAUACACUUCCACAUUUCAGCACACCCAUCAUUUACUAAUUCAUGAUUAAAGGUUAGCGCGUACGACUGUUAAUCGUGAGGUUGAGAGUUCGAUCCUCUCCCGGGACG
This 131-nucleotide transfer RNA is filed under the name Aspergillus brasiliensis CBS 101740. Its description in RNAcentral is "tRNA-OTHER". The record is from RNAcentral. Lineage: Eukaryota; Fungi; Ascomycota; Eurotiomycetes; Eurotiales; Aspergillaceae.